UUGUUUCAGCAGUGAAUGUACUAAAAUUGGAAUGAUAUAGACAUUAGCAUGGGUCCUAUGCAAGAAUGACGUGCAAAGUUGUGAAAUAUUUCAUAUGUUG
Molecule: small nuclear RNA, 100 nt
Filed under: Sciurus vulgaris (Eurasian red squirrel)
Lineage: Eukaryota; Metazoa; Chordata; Mammalia; Rodentia; Sciuridae
Source: RNAcentral